Molecule: long non-coding RNA, 956 nt
Organism: Rhagoletis pomonella (apple maggot)
Lineage: Eukaryota; Metazoa; Arthropoda; Insecta; Diptera; Tephritidae
Exons: 2
Source: RefSeq, a predicted model, not a curated record
CAUUAUUCGUAGUAGACGUUUAGGCGUCAACUAGUGCGCUUGGUGCGCUUUAACAUAUCGGCUGUGCGUCGCUGAAGGACGCUGAGCAGGAACCAACACCGUCCAAAACAGCAGGAUCCACAUAGUUGGAUGGACUGGUAAUAGUCUGGCGCUAAUAUUGGAGCAAAAGCACUAACAAAAGGCAAAAGCGACUAGGAGUAGGUGACAACUUUCUAUUGUUAGGUAGUUGACUGGAGGAGGCUAGAGCUGUAUGGUGGGAAACGCAACGAAACGUUCUGAAGAGCGGACAGUUAGGGACCAUUCUAUCGAGACAUACUACGAACUACGGAAAAUACAAAAUGACAAACAUCCUAUUGUGUCCUUUUUGGAUUUGCCCGAACACCCGAUGUGUCGAGUGCUGUCACCGACGAAGUGCAGCGUGAUGGAGCUGCCAUCGUUUGUAAGGAGUUGCUGCCCACGCGAUCGAUGCAGCCAAUAUUCGACGCGCGGUAGUUGGCAGAAAUGUUCGUCACUUUUGUAGUCGUUGUCGCUGUAGUAAAUGCGUAAGCAAUUUCGCUCGCUGGCUGAUGGCCUGAUGGUCGACCCGAUCAAAGUGUGCAACGCUCAGUGCCAAUGGUGUCAUUAAUCAUCCGAAAGUAAUGGCAUUUUAUAGAGCUUCGCUCGACAAUGCAAAAAAAAAUUGUGGCAAGUUCAGUGAAUGACAGUUGAUAGUUAUUGGCCAUGGACUUGAAUAUUGAAUUGGCAGGCUUACGCGCUUGGUACGGAGAUUACGAUUGGGUUCACAUGGGGUUGUGGACGUUUGAAAGUGCAUUUUUUCAAACACUUUAGGCCUUGAGCGAAACUACGACCUACGCGGGGCUAAAGUAAAAUUACUUUGCUGAAAUCUUACCAGUAUCUACUAAACGAAUUUCGAAUAUUUAAACUUUAAUAAAAACUGCGGAGUGUUGUGAAAUCAA